RNAcentral lists this ribosomal RNA (250 nucleotides) under uncultured bacterium. RNAcentral describes it as "partial 16S ribosomal RNA". It matches the Rfam family "Bacterial small subunit ribosomal RNA", at positions 263 to 504 of the family's 1533-position model. The record is from RNAcentral.
GCCUACCAAGGCAACGAUGCAUAUCCGAGCUGAGAGGCUGAUCGGACACACUGGGACUGAGACACGGCCCAGACUCCUACGGGAGACAGCAGUUAGGAAUAUUCGUCAAUGGGGGAAACCCUGAACGAGCAAUGCCGCGUGAGUGAUGAAGGCCCUAUGGGUUGUAAAACUCUGUUAUUUGGGAAGAAUGACUAGUAUAGGAAAUGAUAUUAGUUUGACGGUACCUUAUCAGAAAGCCCCGGCUAACUAC